This 2957-nucleotide long non-coding RNA is filed under the name Carassius auratus (goldfish). RNAcentral's name for it is "lncRNA (ENSCARG00000036538.1)". Lineage: Eukaryota; Metazoa; Chordata; Actinopteri; Cypriniformes; Cyprinidae. The record is from RNAcentral.
UUCAGUGCUGUAUUGAGCUCCUCUUUGAAAUUAACAAAGUAAAAAUACAUUAAUAAAACAACACCAGAUUGCAGUGAGAAGAAAAGAAGAAAAUACACUGACAUUUUCAGACAUAUUAGUUCUUGACGGGGAUAAAACAUGUAUUCUAUGUUGACUUGGGUUUGCUUUGUUUUAUAUUUUGUUGGAAGAGUAAAAAUAUUUGGUAUGAGAGACAAAAAACGGGUUACACUCGCUUCACUCUCCAGUCCAGCGGGUGGCGCUAAUAUCACACACGUCUUUUUGCCAAACAACAUUAAAUCUCAGAAGAAGAAGAUUCGUUUCACCGCGCUCUCUGUUGUUUUGUCGUGAUGCUGGUUUAAUACAAACGGUUAGAAAUAUUGUUUCUGUAAAUAGAAAAAUACAGUUUUAGAAAUCAACAAAUACCUGUGAUAUUUUCAUCCUCACAGUCUUUAAGAUUUGAAGCUGGCAGGAAUAUUUUGAGGAGUAUCAUCUGAACUGAGAUCUGCUGCUGUGAAGAUGGAGUUUAAAGAGGAGAGUGAAGAGAACACGAGUGAACCAGAAACCUGCAGAAUAAAACACGAGGAACCAGAAACCUGGAGAAUAAAACACGAGGAACCAGAAACCUGGAGAAUAAAACAAGAGGAACCAGAAACCUGGAAAAUAAAACACGAGGAACCAGAAACCUGGAGAAUAAAACACGAGGAACCAGAAACCUGGAGAAUAAAACACGAGGAACCAGAAACCUGGAGAAUAAAACACGAGGAACAAGGAGAUCCCCCAAAAUCCUACCAGAAGCUUUCACCUGCACGGAGUAACGUCAGGCCAAAGUUGCUGUUGCAAAUCAGCCUGACCCUCCGAUAACAACAACAGUGCCAGGCCUACAUGUACAUGGGUUCAGUGCAGGGCCAGCUAUGGCUACAUCUUCAAAUACCCCCCUCCCACAAGAUGAUGGUCUGUGGAUGUUUCUUCAGAGCCGAGGGAUUCCUGAGGAAAAUAUACAGAAAAUGCAGCAAGAUCAUAUUGACAGCUCGGUAGUUGGAGAAAUAGAUGAUGCCACUAUGACUGCUUACAUUCCAGCAUAUGGUGAUAGGAUUGCUACAAGGCGUUUCUGUAUGGAAAAACAGAGAAAAGGUGGAGAUGAUCUAAAAAGACUGUCCUUAUUUGAAAAACUUAGAAGAAAGAUGGGCACAUUGACAAGCAAUAAAGACACAGAUCAAGAUUUUGAGGAGGAGCAUUCUAUGCAGCCAACAAAGAUGCAUCUGAGAAAUAACAAAAGGGCCAUGAAGAUGACAAGGAAAAUAGAACUAGGAUGGAUACACAACAAGAAACAAGUGAGAAAACGCAAUGGUGGAGGAACCAGAGUUCUUGAUAUUUCCAAGAAAGCCACAAAAACAGAGAUUCUAUCACAAGCUAAAAAGCUAUUUUUCCCCAAUGAGAAAUCGAGAAAGGGAAAGUGGGAAGAGUUCAGUCACAGCAUUGUUGACUUUCAGGAAGCAUACCUUGAUGAGGGUGUUAGUGUGGGAGAGCUCUAUGAAACACAAAAAUUGGGGAUUUUAAGAUUUUACUUGUUCACAGAGCACCUGACAAAUGGAGAUGAAGUAUUCACAGAGACGACAGAAGGAACUGAUGAACAGACAGAUGCAGCGAGUGUAAAUGAGCGACAGAAAAACACAACAGAAGAUAAUAAGCAGAUGACACAAAAACCACAUGACAGUGAACAGCAGACACACACUGUGGAAGCUUUUGUCUCUACUGCUGUAGAGAUUGUUGAUCUUACAUCUUUGUGUGAUACAUCGGAGGUCAUUUUUGGCCCUUUGCAAGGUGGACCAUUUUUAGAAGAUCUUGAUGACACAAUCUUACAUGAGCCUAUAGAAGAGGCCCAGAUAAACAUCGACGCCAAUAGCUCAACUACUGUCCAUUCUGACACCGUGUCUGCUGGCCCAUUAAGUCCUCCUUAUGAACUGUUGCAUGUGACAGUGAAACUCCACAGAGUCAAUCUCUUGGAGGAACUGAUUAUCCAAUUCAAGGAUGAAGCGAUGAUGUCCUACACUGUGAAAUACAGCUUCAUUCAUGAAAUGGGGGCAGAUGCUGAUGGCGUGUCCAGGGAUGUAUAUGCUGCCUUCUGGACAGAGUUUUUAGACUGUGCAGCAGAGGGUGCAGAUGUGAGGGUGCCAUCACUAUCCCCAAAAUGGCAAGAGGAAGAAUGGAAAUCUGUUGGUAGGAUAAUGGUCAAGGGAUUAAAGGACCAUGGAUAUUUUCCUUCUCGGCUGGCUCAAGCUUUUACAGCAGCAAUCACAUUUGGUGAACACACUGUCUCACCUGAUUUAUUGUUUGACUCACUAAUGUUGUAUCUUAGUCAGUCUGAGCGCGAUCUCUUGUCCACUGCUUUGCAAGACGCCCUUGAUGGUGAUGAUAAAGAUGAACUUCUUGAUCUUAUGGAUCGCAUGGGAGUAAGAACAGUACCAACACAAGAGAACUUGAAAGCUGUACUUCUCCAAGUUGCCCACAAGCAAAUAAUCCAGCAACCAAAAUAUGCACUGGAUAACAUUGCAGCAGUCGCAGGACCAACUCUCAGGGAAUUCUUCCCCAGUGUGCUGGAUAUGCAGAAGAUGUAUGAGGAUCUUAAACCAUCAACCCGAAAGGUAUUAAGGUUGAUCACGGCCUCUCCAGCUACUCCAGCUGAGAACCAAAGUUUGCGAUUUUUACAUCAAUACAUCAGGGGACUGGAUGAGAUAGGCCUCCGGAAGAUGUUGAGAUUCGUGACAGGGUCUGAUGUCAUCUGCGUUAAAGACAUUCAAGUCAUAUUCACCCCUUUGGAAGGGUUAUCAAGGCGGCCUAUUGCACAUACUUGUGGCCCAACUUUAGAGCUGCCAUCAACUUACAACAGCUAUCCUGACCUCCGAGCUGAAAUGGAGGCUAUACUGUCCAGCAACUUCUAUGCAAUGGACAUUGCAUAG